GAUGAACGCUGGCGGCGUGCCUAAUACAUGCAAGUCGAGCGAACAGACGAGGAGCUUGCUCCUCUGACGUUAGCGCCGGACGGGAGAGUCACACGUGGAUAACCUACCUAUAAGACUGGGAUAACUUCGGGAAACCGGAGCUACUACCGGAUAAUAUAUUGAACCGCAUUGUUCAAUAGUGAAAUACGGUUUUGCUGUGACUUAUAGAUUGAUACGCGCCGCAUUAGUUAGUUGGUAAGGUAACGGCUUACCAAGGCGACGAUGGGAACACGACCCGAGAGGGUGGUUGGCCACACUGGAACAGAGGAACGGUCCCGACUCCGACGGGAGGCCACAGUAGAGAAUCUUACGGGAUGGGCGAGUGCGUAACAUAGCAACACCGCGUAAAUGAUGAAGGUGCUCGGAUCGUAAAACUCUGUAGUUAGGGGGGUUCAAAAGUGUUUUUAACUGUGAACGUCUUGACGGUACCGAGACAGAAAGCCACGGCUAACUACGUG
This 497-nucleotide ribosomal RNA is filed under the name uncultured bacterium. RNAcentral's name for it is "partial 16S ribosomal RNA". It matches the Rfam family "Bacterial small subunit ribosomal RNA", at positions 28 to 507 of the family's 1533-position model. The record is from RNAcentral.